This 87-nucleotide transfer RNA is filed under the name Planctomycetaceae bacterium. RNAcentral describes it as "tRNA-Ser". It matches the Rfam family "tRNA". Rfam says of the family: Transfer RNA (tRNA) molecules are approximately 80 nucleotides in length. Their secondary structure includes four short double-helical elements and three loops (D, anti-codon, and T loops). Further hydrogen bonds mediate the characteristic L-shaped molecular structure. tRNAs have two regions of fundamental functional importance: the anti-codon, which is responsible for specific mRNA codon recognition, and the 3' end, to which the tRNAs corresponding amino acid is attached (by aminoacyl-tRNA synthetases). tRNAs cope with the degeneracy of the genetic code in two manners: having more than one tRNA (with a specific anti-codon) for a particular amino acid; and 'wobble' base-pairing, i.e. permitting non-standard base-pairing at the 3rd anti-codon position. Lineage: Bacteria; Pseudomonadati; Planctomycetota; Planctomycetia; Planctomycetales; Planctomycetaceae. The record is from RNAcentral.
GGAGAGGUGGCAGAGUGGCCGAUUGCACCGGUCUUGAAAACCGGAGUCUCCGCGAGGGGACCGCGAGUUCGAAUCUCGCCCUCUCCG